UAAUUCAUUAAUCAUAGACUCACUGAUGAGAGUAAAACAAAUGCAUCACCAAUAUACACAGAACGUCAUAACAAAACGUAAGAGAUUAAAAAGAAGAAGAAGGCAAGUUUUGGCAAUCUAUACGAUCAACUACUAUAGUCACAGAACAUAACUAAUCAAUCAAAAACAUCAUACCUUGAGAGAGUGAGCUUGAGAGGGUCUCGAGAGAGUGACUUGAG
Molecule: long non-coding RNA, 218 nt
Filed under: Brassica napus (rape)
Lineage: Eukaryota; Viridiplantae; Streptophyta; Magnoliopsida; Brassicales; Brassicaceae
Description: long non-coding RNA (BNAP_LNC013584)
Source: RNAcentral